Molecule: long non-coding RNA, 595 nt
Organism: Spinacia oleracea (spinach)
Lineage: Eukaryota; Viridiplantae; Streptophyta; Magnoliopsida; Caryophyllales; Amaranthaceae
Exons: 3
Source: RefSeq, a predicted model, not a curated record
CUUCUUCCCUGGACAUACAACCCCUAGGUUUUUUCUUUGCCUCUUUCUUCUUCCCUGGACAUACAACCUAAGGCAACCAUCGACGAAUUCAUUGACGAACUCACCACUACCAACGGCUAAUCGGAGAACUAAGUUACGAUUGGCGACUUCACUCCCACUGGCGACCUCGACACAAUCGCUAGCAAACUACAAAUUUAGGUGUUUAAUAGAUACAAUGGUGUGAUUGAUGGAGUCCAGUUCUCAUCACAUGACCCUGUAGGUGGCCUACUAGCUAGAUCUACCCAUUGAUCCAUCUGCUGGUAUUCGUUGUGCAGAGGUUUGUUUCUUGUUGAAGGUAAGGUGUAAGGGAAGUUCACAUUUGGAAACCAGCCAAACAGUGUUGGAGGAGAACAUAUGCUUGUGCCCGCAUUGGCUAAUAAUUAGUAUUGUCAAUUUGUUGAUGCUUGUCACAAUUAUGUAAACUUUUGAGCCUUAUUUUAUUUUGUUAUUUUUAUAUUUUUGAAGAUUACAAUUGAUGUAAAGUGGGAAAUAAUUUAUUGGGUGAUUGUAAGAAUUAGUUUGAAAUUAAAAAUUUGGUUAAAUGCUGAUUUUUUAU